RNAcentral lists this ribosomal RNA (253 nucleotides) under uncultured bacterium. Its description in RNAcentral is "partial 16S ribosomal RNA". It matches the Rfam family "Bacterial small subunit ribosomal RNA", at positions 524 to 776 of the family's 1533-position model. The record is from RNAcentral.
UACAGAGGGUGCAAGCGUUGUUCGGAAUUAUUGGGCGUAAAGCGCGCGUAGGCGGCUAUUCAAGUCAGAGGUGAAAUCCCUGGGCUCAACCCAGGAACUGCCUUUGAAACUGUAUAGCUUGAGUGUCGGAGGGGAUAGCGGAAUUGCUAAUGUAGAGGUGAAAUUCGUAGAUAUUAGCAGGAACACCGGUGGCGAAGGCGGCUAUCUGGACGACAACUGACGCUGAGGCGCGAAAAUGUGGGGAUCAAACAGG